ACCCUCAAUGAUAUAGUUCGCACUCUCCUCAUUCAAUCAUCUAUGCCUCCCAAGUUUUGGGCUGAAGCCCUACACAUGGCCACCUUCCUUCUAAAUAUUCGACCUUCUAAAACUAAACCCAACACUACUCCCUAUUAUUCCCUCUUUCUUUCCCACCCCGACUACUCCGCGGUUCGUGUUUUCGGCUGUCUCUGUUUUCCCAAUGCCUACGCCACUUCUGCAAAUAAAUUGUCAUCACGCUUUAUCCCAUGUGCUUUUCUCAGCUUCUCUGACGAGCACAAAGGCUAUCGCUGUCUCGACCUUCACACCGGACACGUUCAUGUCUCUCGUCAUGUCACGUUUGCUGAGCACAUUUUUUCUUUCUCACAACGCAAUACUACACCAUCCAACACCCCU
This 396-nucleotide ribosomal RNA is filed under the name Triticum aestivum (bread wheat). Its description in RNAcentral is "partial small subunit ribosomal RNA". Lineage: Eukaryota; Viridiplantae; Streptophyta; Magnoliopsida; Poales; Poaceae. The record is from RNAcentral.